GCCGAGGUGGCGGAACUGGCAGACGCGCAUGGUUCAGGUCCAUGUGGACAUUUUUAAGUCCGUGCGGGUUCAAAUCCCGCCCUCGGCACCA
RNAcentral lists this transfer RNA (91 nucleotides) under Candidatus Bipolaricaulota bacterium. RNAcentral's name for it is "tRNA-Leu". It matches the Rfam family "tRNA". Rfam says of the family: Transfer RNA (tRNA) molecules are approximately 80 nucleotides in length. Lineage: Bacteria; Candidatus Bipolaricaulota. The record is from RNAcentral.